AAUCAGUCCUAACCUCUGGACAUGAUGUGUUAAUCAGUUCUAACCUCUGGAUAUGAUGUCAUUAUGUGAAAUCCAGAUGUUUUUUCUGAAGCGCCUUGUGGAGGACCAAGGGCACAACACAACUUUAUAUUUGUGAAGUUAUAUACUUGAAAGUGUACAAUGUAUGGAAAUGUUAUUUUAUCUUAUUUUCCCUAUUGUUUCUGAUGUAUUCCAAUUCAAUUUUAUUUAUAUAGCGCCAUAACAAUACAAUUGUCUCUAGGCGCUUUACAGAGCCCAGAUUCCAACCCCCCCCACAUACACACACACACACACACACACACACACACACUAGUCUUAUCACAGUUAGCCUCAUAAGGCACCCUGAGGCAUUUAAUGAAUGAGUAAUGUUACGACUCAACAGAAGAUGGUGGUAGCCUUCAACUUGUACUAACGGAGACAGUAGCAAACAGCAUGUCAGUGGUGAGAGCUAUGGCCUCCACCCAGCAUCUUCUCAUGCAACGGUGACUCCAGGGGCCUUUCUUACUUCCUGUCAUUUGUUUUGGUUGGACCAGCCCCCUCCACGCUCAUUCACUGGCAGCCCCCCUGCGCUUGAGACGAGUGGCGUGGGCGAUUGUCCAGCUCUCCGGGUGACUGUCAGAAACCUGUAAAGGUUCGGAGCCCUGUUCACUUCUCUGGGCAUGGCAGCCAGCCGCUGGAGCCAGGGAUUACAGUCGAAGGCCAGGGGAGGGAAGAGGGGGGGAGGAGGGGGAGGGAGGAGGGGGGGUGAUCUGGGGGUUGGCUGCGGUUGAGAGCCGGGGCAGGUCCUGCUCCUGUUGGGGAAUCAUGAGGGAAAGAGUCCGGGGGGUUGGGGGGGGUUCACUCGUCAGAGUUUAGUGUCUGUGUUGAUUCGUGGCAUUAGUUUGUUUACCCGGAGCAAAGUGGAGCACAUCGCUGCGUCUCUGACCUUUUUGUGGUUUGCGUUCAUGCUGAUUAGGAGAGGAAAGUGAUCCGGGGCGAAGCGCUUAAAGUGCCUCCCUCUCCUCCUCUCCUCUCCUCUCCUCUCCCUCUCCGUCGCCAGGCUGUUUUUAAGCAGAAAUUACACAGGGCCUCGGCAGUCGGACGGGGUAAUUGGCGGAGGCGGAGCAGAGGGCCUUGUGGCUGUGACAGGGGACCACCACCACCACCUCCCCUCUUCCCUUUUGAAGAGCUUCAUUAACCAGAGAGCUAGUGGCAGCAAAUCCUCACACAUUAGCCCAGUGGACUCUCGUGGUGACACUUCACAUCUUCACAUCUCUUCUGGUGAUCUUAACGCUCUCUUGCACUUUUUUCAUUUAUUUUAAAAAAGCAAAAAAAACAAGUCAUGACCCAGUUCCCUAAUAGCCAAGUUAAUGUCAUUAGUCACAGUACUAUUUAAAGACCUACUGCUGAAUAUUGAGGCUGGGAGUUUUUCUAUGAAAAUGUCCAGACGUCCUUUACUGUCUUCUUACAUUCCUCCCGUGGAGUAGCCAGUCAGUUAGGCUCAUGAUGAGGUCGAGUGAGGAAGUAGGGCUUACUGGUUCAGUUGAGGGAUGUGAGUGCAAUUCCAUUUCAAGUUAUCGCAAAAACAGGAAUACGGCUUCGUCUAUUAUAUACUUGUUUACCCCUUUCCCCUUCUCAUUAACCAAAGCAACGUUAACACUUAAAACAAAUGUCACAGACAGACAUUCUUAGCUAAAUGCUUGGCGAUUGUUUUUUUCUUUGAAAAUGGCAUACAUUUUUUCCACAGACCUUUUCUUGAUUUAUUUAUUGCUUGUGGCCACAGUGCUAGCCUGUGGAAUGUAGCCUGCCGUAGCUCGCUAGAGUCGUCUCCAAAAGGGUCAGUAGGUAGUUGGACAUACAUUUGCACGCGACAUUAACAGAAAUGUGUACAUGCCUUCCAUAAACACCAUGUUUAUAUAUCUACCGUUACAGUUUUACGGACAGGCAAAGCGCUCGGAGCGGUGGAAAGCAUCGAGUCGGCUUCUCUACGCGCAUAUUCAUCUUCUCUGAGCCCAGUUUGAGUGGAGGGAGCUGAACUCCACGGGCUCUUAGGUGAUGUGAUGUGAUGUGAUGACAACGAUGAUCUUUCACCGUCUCUUUCAGUCUGAAUCUGAGAGAACACUCUUAACUUGCGUUGGUCUCCAAAAUGGCUGCAAUGGUUUACUUGGCGACUAACAUGCUUGGGUGUCUUCUGUUCACUGUUGUGUGGACUCCAACGUGCAUGCCUGAUCGAUUAGUGAACUCUUAAGGGCUCUUAAGUUCCAUGAUGGAUAAAGUGGACGAUGAACGUUUGGCUUCAGCCACAGUUGGGCUGAUAAUGAUCACUGAAGAUGGUAGAACUCUGACAACUGUACUGUAUUUAGACAUGGACUACUCUCUGAAUCUCCAAAAUCUGUUUUUAUGUGCAGCAAGUGGACGAGACUGAAUUUUGAGCCUACACAAAUUAGCAUCCACUAUUUUUAAAGGCUGUCGUGAUUUUUAAAUGUUCUGAAACUGCCC
Molecule: long non-coding RNA, 2496 nt
Organism: Clupea harengus (Atlantic herring)
Lineage: Eukaryota; Metazoa; Chordata; Actinopteri; Clupeiformes; Clupeidae
Source: Ensembl